GUUUCAAGUUUAUACAAAUGAUUUAUUUCCACACUUCCAAGGGACUAUUGCUGGCUGCCUCCAGGCUCAUAUCUACCUUAAAAGGUUAUGAAGGCUCAUUCCUCAGUUCUACACUCCAGGCUGGGUCUCUCAUUUGAAGAUAUUUCCAUGC
RNAcentral lists this long non-coding RNA (151 nucleotides) under Fukomys damarensis (Damara mole-rat). Its description in RNAcentral is "lncRNA (ENSFDAG00000027760.1)". Lineage: Eukaryota; Metazoa; Chordata; Mammalia; Rodentia; Bathyergidae. The record is from RNAcentral.